CUACGGGCCGCAGCAGUGAGGAAUAUUGGUCAAUGGGUGCGAGCCUGAACCAGCCAUCCCGCGUGCAGGAUGACGGUCCUAUGGAUUGUAAACUGCUUUUCUAUGCCAAGAAACCUGAUUACGUGUAAUCAGUUGCCGGUAGCAUAGGAAUAAGCAUCGGCUAACUCCGUGCCAGCAGCCGCGGUAAUACGGAGGAUGCAAGCGUUAUCCGGAUUCAUUGGGUUUAAAGGGUGCGCAGGUGGGCUUGUAAGUCAGUGGUGAAAUGCUGCCGCUUAACGGUAGAACUGCCAUUGAUACUGCGAGUCUUGAGUAUGGUUGAGGUAGGCGGAAUGUGUUGUGUAGCGGUGAAAUGCAUAGAUAUGACACAGAACGCCAAUUGCGAAGGCAGCUUACUAAGCCAUUACUGACGCUGAGGCACGAAAGCGUGGGGAGCGAACAGGAUUAGAUACCCCGGUAGUC
Molecule: ribosomal RNA, 459 nt
Filed under: uncultured bacterium
Lineage: Bacteria
Description: partial 16S ribosomal RNA
Rfam family: Bacterial small subunit ribosomal RNA
Source: RNAcentral